UUGAACGCUGGCGGCAGGCCUAACACAUGCCAGUCGAGCGGAUGAAGGGAGCUUGCUCCUGGAUUCAGCGGCGGACGGGUGAGUAAUGCCUAGGAAUCUGCCUGGUAGUGGGGGAUAACGUCCGGAAACGGGCGCUAAUACCGCAUACGUCCUGAGGGAGAAAGUGGGGGAUCUUCGGACCUCACGCUAUCAGAUGAGCCUAGGUCGGAUUAGCUAGUUGGUGGGGUAAAGGCCUACCAAGGCGACGAUCCGUAACUGGUCUGAGAGGAUGAUCAGUCACACUGGAACUGAGACACGGUCCAGACUCCUACGGGAGGCAGCAGUGGGGAAUAUUGGACAAUGGGCGAAAGCCUGAUCCAGCCAUGCCGCGUGUGUGAAGAAGGUCUUCGGAUUGUAAAGCACUUUAAGUUGGGAGGAAGGGCAGUAAGUUAAUACCUUGCUGUUCUGACGUUACCAACAGAAUAAGCACCGGCUAACUUCGUG
This 483-nucleotide ribosomal RNA is filed under the name uncultured bacterium. Its description in RNAcentral is "partial 16S ribosomal RNA". It matches the Rfam family "Bacterial small subunit ribosomal RNA", at positions 30 to 507 of the family's 1533-position model. The record is from RNAcentral.